This 798-nucleotide ribosomal RNA is filed under the name uncultured KB1 group bacterium. RNAcentral describes it as "bacterial SSU rRNA". It matches the Rfam family "Bacterial small subunit ribosomal RNA", at positions 549 to 1335 of the family's 1533-position model. Lineage: Bacteria; Candidatus Calescibacteriota. The record is from RNAcentral.
AAUUACUGGGCGUAAAGGGCGUCUAGGCGGCCAGUCAAGUCGACGUUGAAAUUCCUCGGCUAAACUGAGGGAGGUACGUCGAAACUGACCGGCUAGAGGGACGUAGAGGUAAGCGGAACUCUCGGAGUAUCGGUGAAAUGCGUAGAAACCGAGAGGUACCCCGAUGGUGAAGACAGCUUACUGGGCGUCUCCUGACGCUGAAGCGCUAAGGCCAGGGGAGCAAAGGGGAUUAGAUACCCCCGUAGUCCUGGCUUCAAACGAUGUGGGCUUGGUGUCGGCCCCCUAUAGAGGGUCGUUGCCGGAGUUAACGCGUUAAGCCCACCGCCUGGGGAUUACGUCCGCAAGGAUGAAACUCAAGGGAAUUGACGGGGGCCCACACAACCGGUGGAGCACGUGGUUUAAUUCGACGAUAAGCGAAGAACCUUACCAGGGCUUGACCUAGCGGUAGUAGGACCCCGAAAGGGGAACGACCUCAAGCUUUGCUUGAGGAGCCGUGGCAGGUAUUGCAUGGCUGUCGUCAGCUCGUGUCGUGGGACGUUGGGUUAAGUCCCGUAACGAGCGCAACCCCUGCCCUUAAUUGCCAACGGGUAAUGCCGGGCACUAUAAGGGGACUGCCGGAGAAUAUCCGGAGGAAGGAGGGGAUGACGUCAAGUCAUUAUGAUCCUUAUGCUCUGGGCGACACACGUGCUACAAUGGGCACUACAAUGAGGAGCGAUUCCGCAAGGAGGAGCAAAUCUCAAAAAGGUGCCCCCAGUGCGGAUUGGGGUCUGCAACCCGACCCCAUGAAGAUGGAAUCGG